UGCUUCGUGACAUCGGCUGUAUUGCGUGUUUUCGCCGACGGCUUACUACCACAAUGGCGGGAUCUGCGUUCACCGCCUUCGCGUCUCGGUGCGUCUUUGUGCGUACGUCGCACGUUCGGAUAACACUUUUUCCGACGGCUGGACAUCCUUCUUGUACCUUGGCGCUAGCUGGAUGACGGGACCUCAUCAUGAUCAGUGUAUUGCUUUCCUAUGUCUACAAGAACCAUCAUGCGUGGCCUGUGACAGCAAGCAUUUGUGGGCAGCCAGUGCUCUCCUACGAAGGCUGGCCUACUCUGGCAGCGGCGGCAAUCAUCUUCAAGAUUUAUCCAUGAUCACCCUUGCUGCUAUUUGUCACUCUUGUUAAUUACACUUUCUGCAUCUUUUCUAAUUUAUUAGGUAAUAAAGUAUGAGUAUGUGA
This is a non-coding RNA of Dermacentor albipictus, 418 nucleotides long. Lineage: Eukaryota; Metazoa; Arthropoda; Arachnida; Ixodida; Ixodidae. The record is from RefSeq and is a predicted model, not a curated record.